UGCAGCUGUGUGAACAUGUGUGUCUCCACUCAACUUGGGCCAACUAGGAGUAAGACCUUCUUCCAUUAGUGAAGAAAGUAUAUUUAGCUGGGCAUGGUGGCUCUCGCCUAUAAUCCCAGCACUUUGGGAGGCCGAAGUAGGCAGAUCACUUGAGGUCAGGAGUUUGAGCCCAGCCUGGCUAACAUGGUGAAACCCUGUCUCUACUAAAGAUACAAAAAUUAGAUGAGCGUGGUGACAGGCUUCUGUAGUCUCAGCUACUCAGGAGGCUGAGGUGGGAGAAUCACUUGAACCCGGGAAGCAGAGGUUGCAGUGACCUGAGAUCACGCCACUGCACUCCAGCCUGGGCAACAGAGUGAGACUGUCUCAAAAAAAAAAAAGAAAGAAAGAAAAAGAAAGUAUGUUUGGACACCUAACAGCAACUAAGUUCUCAGCUCAAGAAGUCUGGAGCUUGAUGAGCGCAUGGCACCCUGCCUUCCAGAGACAAGGUUCCCAACAACUGUGCUGAAUGAAUGGAGGAAAAAUGAACCCAAACCAGGAAUACAAAUCCUUGUGUGUGAACAUAAACCUACUUCCAAAAUUCUUGAGGAAUCCCUAACUCAAGUCCCCCAAGUCCUGUUUGGUUGUGCACAGAAAGAGAUAUUACAAGAGGAGCCGUGGGAACCUGAAAAAAUGAAUGGGGAGUGGCAGUCCCUUCUUAUUAAUGUGAUCAAGACCAAUAAAUGUAUAUUGUA
This 731-nucleotide long non-coding RNA is filed under the name Homo sapiens (human). Its description in RNAcentral is "HSALNT0299529". The record is from RNAcentral. Lineage: Eukaryota; Metazoa; Chordata; Mammalia; Primates; Hominidae.